Molecule: non-coding RNA, 1042 nt
Organism: Drosophila melanogaster (fruit fly)
Lineage: Eukaryota; Metazoa; Arthropoda; Insecta; Diptera; Drosophilidae
Source: Ensembl
CUUUUCUGUACCAUUUUUUUGUUUAAAUAAUACCAUUUACCAAAAAUAUGAAAGAUCUCGACUUUUCCUUGGCAGGUGCGGUCCGGGAAAAAUUCCCAUCCGUUUUUUCCCACACAGGAUGCAAAUGUAACAGAACCGAAUAGGAAACCUUCAAACGAAAAUUCGAUUUCAUGCAAAACACAAACGGGAAAUCGGGAAACACAAAACUGGAAACCCCAAAACGAGUAUCGAGGCCUCUCGUGAGGAUAAAACGAAGGACGAACAUGUGCGCUUCCCACAGACUCUCAUCAGCAGGUACAUGUGGAUGUGGUCUAGAGGAUCCUGCGGGAUAUCUAUCCAGAAAAGGACUCACAGCCUCUUCCCAGGGAGCUCGAAAACAGCUGCUUUUCAAUCUUUUCGUGUACGAAUUUUUAAGAUUUUUAUGUCUUAUGAUUUUACUGUUUCAGGUUGAUGGUGGAAGUGUCGCUACUUAAAGAUGCGAACUUCACUUCCGUGUGAAUUUUUUUUUCGGAUUUCGCACAACAACAACAGCUGGCUAGUUAAUCCUUUGCCAGUUGUUAGACGCAGGAUUCCUCGACUUUCGCUUAAUUGGAAGGAGUAGCAGCAGCAGCAGUCGAAGGCGAAACCGCAGCAGUUGCUGUCUCUUUGUUAUUGAAUUCGAAACUUAUCGGAAAUCUUUUUUGGGCCUGAGAACGGAAACGCGACUGGGAUCUUCGCAGCACCCUGUUUGCCAAAACUGAGAACGCAGAGGGUCAGAUCAAAUCAAGGAUCGCCGAGUGCGAGGGUGGAUCAGGUGCAUUGCAUAAUCUUCGCCUUUGUAUCCCCCUGCACACAUCAUCUGUGGGAAUAUCUUUCGUUUUUUGGCGGGGGGAUCCUUGUGCAAACGGCUCAGAACGGAAGUCGUUUAGCGUGGGAAGUCCUAGGAGCAAAUAGAGCUGCCGAAGGGGUUGCUCAUCCAAUCUAAAUCUAAUUCCGGUGGGGACUACAGGUGGGGAAUUAAUUGAAUUUCUAGACAAUUGCAAUAAAAUAAUAUUUAUUUUAG